Molecule: long non-coding RNA, 2437 nt
Organism: Bombus terrestris (buff-tailed bumblebee)
Lineage: Eukaryota; Metazoa; Arthropoda; Insecta; Hymenoptera; Apidae
Exons: 3
Source: RefSeq, a predicted model, not a curated record
AACAAUUGCAUUACACUUCAUACUUCCACACAUUUUCUUUCAGUCAAUAUUUAUAAUACAUCGAUAGCGGUAUUAAUUAAGGCGAUAGUAAUUAACGAACUAAAUUAAACGAAACAUAAAAAUGACAUAUGAAAAAUUCUAUUCAAAAAGUAGUAUUGGACAAACGCACAUGUAUGCGUAACAUAAAGCGUUCUAAGCCAUCACGGAAGACGAGGGUUCGCUCGUGAAUCACUGCGCGAGUGCAUUAAGUGGCAAGGUAAUUGAGUGAAGCGCCGUGUGUCGCGGUGCUUCCGCAACGGCUACUCGAAACUCGCGUUUACGGGGCUGCGUUUCAACCAGCACCAAUGGCGCUACUUGUCGCCGUCGGCAGUGACACGUGUGCGCGUGCGAAUAAUAACCACGUACACGUUCAUACAGUCCGGAGAUAACUAUUGUCCUGGUCUCGGGGUGUAAUGCCCUAUUGUGAAUUGGUCACAGUGACGUAUCGCCUGUCGUCAGGAAAACGACGAACGCACAUUGUUGUAUAUGAUACAACGCGGCACUGCCACUAUGUGACAUCAGGAGGAUAACGGCAACAAUAACAAUAACAACAACAGCGAAGCAUCAACGACGAACACGAUAUACACGCGCUGAACACGCAACAAGCACAGCGGGCAGCCAUAUUAUUACCGUCUUUUCGCAGUCCGCGCCUCUGUUGUAGACAUAAUGGUAACCCGCACCACGGACUCGCUGCUCACCUGCCCAGUGAAGAGAGGAGAAGAAGGAAGAAACGUGCACGUUAGGGGUAAGGAGGGAACCUCGCUAGUGGGGAGACGGCCACUUUGCCUCUUGUUACCUGUACGCUCCUGCGUUUAUUUUUCUGCUUCCUUUGCACUCUCAUUUCCUUGCUUUCCGAGCUGACGAUCAAUCUACAUAACGCUCGACCUUUUUUCAAUUUGAAUUAUUGCUCUCGAAUAUGUUCUACGAAUUGGAAAUACGUCAUCUCCGUUCGUUUAUUUUAUAUAAGAUAAGAUUGAAGUCCUACCGUUAACGGAAAAAAACUUUCUGCUUUCGCCACUGAUACAUUGUAUCAUAUAUAUAUAUACAUUUAUAUUAUUCCGCAUAUAUAAAUCUUGUAUAAAAUUUCAGAAAAAUUCAACAAGGAGUAACUUGCAAAUAAUAUGUUUGUUACUUUAUAAUAGAACUUGGUAAAAAAUUAGAAUAAACACAUCGUUUUCUUCUCCUAUAAAAUUAUUUAAAGAUAAAAAAUGUUAAUAAUGCAAACAAAUCAUUGUAAACUAAUUACAAUAUUUUACUCACGCCAAAAUGGCAAUAGAUAACUUGUGUAAUAUAAAAUUAUACUAAAUCGUGUAUCUUCUGGUUUAUCCAACUAAAUUAUGACUUUAAGUAUAUAUCAUAUGUUCGUGUUUAACACUUUAAUUAAUAUAAGAUGAACUAUUUUUUAGUUUCUUUUUUUUUUAAUGAACGUGAUGAGUAUUAAAUUUGCUUUAUCUACAUAAAGAUCGAAAGGAUAUUUAUCAUACUAAAAUACAUAACUACAUAAAGUAGAAAAUAACUGAGUAAAUUACGAUAUCUAAUAGUAAUCUCGCAUAAUACCUAAAAGAAAGUAUAAAUCUAUUUUUAACGAAAACCAAAACACGAGUGGAAGAAAAGAUGGUAUCGUUUCGUAUGGCCUGCAUGUUUAUCUCUAUAAUAUGCGAGUUUUUUGUACUUCCGUUUCCUUGUAAUUCUAACAAGCGUGAUCACGGACUGAUUAAAUCGUGUGACGCUUUGCCCACGUACGUAAUUAUAUAACUUUUUAGUGAACAUUGAUUAAUUAUUCUCAUUCCCGUCAUUAAGGGAACUUCCGUCAGGGUCACUAAAAAAGUUUGCGCAAACAUUCUACUCCGUUAAAUUUGUGGAAUUAUGAAAUCUUCUUUUUUAAUGACAUUAGCAGAUAUCACGAGUAAUCUCAGAAAUUUUUCGUAAUGUUAAUUUGCAAUGACAUGAGAUUACUCACAACUUAUCUAUACAAUUCAAAAAGAAAGGAAUAAUAUUUGUAACUUACAAACGGCUUGCUUAUAAUACAGAUUAUAUUAUUCGUAAGUACAGAAAAUUGCAAGAAUUAUACAAAAUGUAGUAAUCCGAAUUCAUUUUGCAAAUAUUUAAAUACUUCGCAUUUAAUUUUUAACUGUUCAAUACAUAUUACGUUUUCAUCGAUAUCCCGAACACCUCUUGCCUAAGAGUUUAUUCAGCGCCAUACACGUGAAUGAUAUUCCUCAAAUAUUGUAUGACUGUAAUUUAAGUGCAAUUUUAAAAGGCAGUACAGUGCUUCAAGGUCCUGGUGAUUACGUAGAAUAAUUAUGUAGCGGUCCGUUGUUACGUUAUUACGGCCGCCGGAAUUAUACUUAAUUUGUAGUCAUAAGUAUACCCUACUUUGGUUUACUUUUGACAGUAA